AUCGGUGCAGGAGAUGGCAUUCCUCCUGUCCCCACCGGGGCAAACCGCCGCCUUGGCUGAUGAUGCCUGCUGACCC
Molecule: non-coding RNA, 76 nt
Filed under: Lysobacter sp.
Lineage: Bacteria; Pseudomonadati; Pseudomonadota; Gammaproteobacteria; Lysobacterales; Lysobacteraceae
Also listed under: 1 other name
Description: Fluoride sequence
Rfam family: Fluoride riboswitch aptamer (crcB RNA motif)
Source: RNAcentral